AACUCUAUUUUUUUGUUUUGAAAACAAAAGUUAAGAAAAAUCUUUAGAGUCG
RNAcentral lists this transfer RNA (52 nucleotides) under Phyxioschema suthepium. RNAcentral's name for it is "tRNA-Ser". The record is from RNAcentral. Lineage: Eukaryota; Metazoa; Arthropoda; Arachnida; Araneae; Euagridae.